UAUGUUGGAGUGAGAAUAUUGUGACAACGAGAUGUAAUGAAAAAAUAAUAAUAAUACCAAAAGAGGUUGAGAAUUACGUGUAGGAUGCAACAAAUACGUUUGUGACUUGUGACUGACGAUACAUUAAUUAAUGGAAAUCUUAUACAAUAAAGUUGCCUUGUCUCUCUCCUCCUGCGUCCACGUCAUCAGGGAGAUAGGGGCUUUCCUCGCCACGUGUCGUUGCGCUGAUUGGUUUGUGUAAGUCACGCGUUUUGGUUUCGUUGGGUUUUCUAUAAUCUUCAUCGUCGAACCAGAGUAAUGGAAGCAGUACGAUUUUUGCUCUAGCCAUAAACUGAGCAUUUAAUCUCAGUUAAUUCUUCCCCCACGACUUCUCAUUUCACUAGAUCCUUCGAUCUCUUCAGAUUUUUCAUGGAUUGGAUCCUAUAAUUAGGCGUUCCUUGCUUCGCGAAAGAAAGCUCAGUGGGCGAUGAAGUGGAUCGACGGAUCUCAGACCUUCGCGGAGAGGAGCAUCGCCUUCGCCUGCGCAUAAGGGAUCUUCUUCUCCGGUAGCUUCUGCUCGAUCUUCUGGCUCAAGAAACGAGGGCUUAUGCCUGGUUUGACCUUCUCCAACGAGUUGAUCUCUCGAGACGAUGGCUUUGCACUGCGUGAAGUCGAUCGUCUGGUUUCGCCUGCCUGAUCUACACCCUCUUGAGGACGAAUCUCAUGGACGAAUCUCUCUUCAGGGUAAAACAAACUUCUUCGAGAAGAGAGUUCGUGAUUACCAGAAGGCUUGUGUUAUGUCGAGCGUUAAUGGAGGCGGCGCGUUUGAUAAUCAUCUCUCCAACUCUACUCACUUUGCAAUUUAUCAUCAAUAUUAACAGCCUCUGGCGACAUGUAUGCACAACUUUUAGCAAAGGAAGAUGGCUAUUAAUCUGUAAAUAACAGAAUCGUGGCUACAAUAUCAGUUGCUUCCAUUAACAACUCGCCCUCACUUGAUUCUUAGCGGCAUCAGAGUCUCUACCACUUGUCUCCAGACCUCAUUCUUCUCUUAUUAUUUUCAAUAACAGAGGUUUGUUGUUUGAUCUCUAUUUCAAAAGGUCUUCUUGAAACCAUAUCAAUCCAUCUGUGGGCCAACGUUGAGAAAUUUGACAGUCUGCAUAAGCCUAAUACAAAUACAGUCGGCAUUGCAUUGUAAGUUAACAACUCCAUAUCUGGGCCAACAUUGAGAGUUUUUACUGUCUGCGUAGGUCAACAGUCAACACUAAUAGAUUCUCUCUAUCAUAUGGUUGAGAGAUAUAAAUGAGAAUUAGGUCAACAAGCCUAAGAAGCAAAUUUGUUUCUGAGUUUAUCUUAGUCGUUUCGUAUAACCUUCACAUAGUUGUGCCUUUCCUCCACUUUCCGGCGAUGAAUGAUUGGGUGUCAAUGGUGGAAUUCACUUAAAGCUACUCAUCACUUCCUCAACCUUUCAGCUUUCCUGCGUUUUUUGACCCGUUUAUUUUAUUAUAUAUACGAACAGAUGUGAGGACCCCGAAGAUUUGGUCGUCUCGCAAUCAAUCUUUUCUUACAAACUAUCUGUAAAAGCAGGUACCAUAAUGACCAAUUCUCAACUUCCUCUCUCUCAGUUGAAGGCUGGUCGUUCUAGGACGACGGCUGUCAGACGGCUUCUCUAUUUUUGGGAAGCUCGGGAUGUGAAGAAAGUAAUAGAACUUAUGGAGAUUGAUACAGUUCUGGUAGAUGAGGAGGAGUUGCUUUUCCAUUGUAUUUGUCUUUUCUGUAACUGUUUUCAAAAUUAUUUUUGUUUGCUAACGCUUCAUUGUUUCUAAAUGGUUUGCAGUCUGAUCCAGGGAUCUAGCAUACACCCCUUAAACGCAUUCCACCACUUACUCAGAGAGGGGUCUGUAUGAGCUCUGCAUUUGAUGUUACCAGGAAUUAAAUAUUUGUAUUGUACACUCCCAUGGUUGACUUAUACAAUUUGUUCACCUUUUGCUAAAUUAAUUUUAAGUUUCUCUU
Long non-coding RNA from Brassica napus (rape), 1989 nucleotides. RefSeq lists it as uncharacterized. The record is from RefSeq and is a predicted model, not a curated record. NCBI's taxonomy places the organism in Eukaryota, Viridiplantae, Streptophyta, Magnoliopsida, Brassicales, Brassicaceae. The transcript has 4 exons.